Molecule: ribosomal RNA, 1053 nt
Filed under: Triticum aestivum (bread wheat)
Lineage: Eukaryota; Viridiplantae; Streptophyta; Magnoliopsida; Poales; Poaceae
Description: partial small subunit ribosomal RNA
Source: RNAcentral
AUGCCUAGGAAUGAUGCGAAGCUCCCGCGCCGCCGCCGGCCGCGCGCGGACCGCCUCGGUGACCUCUCCGACGAUCUGCUCCAUGAUAUCCUGCGCCGCCUCGACACCCGCACCGCGCUCGGCACCGCGGCGCUCUCCAGGCGCUGGGCCAGCCUACCCCGCGAGGUCCCCGUCCUGGACCUCAAGGUCACCGACAUACUGCCGCCGCGCUACCACCGGUGCAUCCGCCUCCGCAGCGACGCCAGGAAAUCAAAAAUCAGCUCGACCUUGUCUGACAGGAGGCUUCUAGAGGCUAUUGCUGUCCGGUACGAGCGCCGCGCCAUGCGAGCCAUGGUCCGCUCCGUCAAGAACCUCCUGGCCAGCCGAGCUCGCCGGCGUGUGGAGAAACUAUCGCUCGAGGUCUUCGCCUACAGCACCUCGGCCUGCAUCAACCGCCUGGUCGUGGACGCCGUCGAUUCCUGGGGCGUCCGGGAUCUAGAGGUUGUUGCCACGCCGACGGGGCCACUCGCGUCUCCCAAGCCGCCGGCCUACAGCUUCACUCAUGGCAUCAUCAGCAGGAAGCCCGGCGAGUCCCGACUGCGAAGCCUCAAGCUUGCCAACUGCUUGCCCCGGGCGCUCCUGGGAUUCAACGCGCUCACCACGCUCUUCUUCCAAGGUGCCAUCACCGUGAACGAUCUGAUCUUGCGGUUUACUGGGCCUGAGAUGUGGAUCAUGCCGAAGAAUCCCUUCUCUGCAAUGUCGAACCUAAGAAGGCUGCUCGUCGCCGACGUGCCUUCCUCAUGGGACGCCUCAUGGCCGCGCCUGCUCAUCGAGGCGGCACCGUUACUUGAGAGCCUUUAUGUGCAUGUCUCCCACAGCGAAGGCGAGCCAAGACAGGAGGUGCCGGGGGAGACCUCGGCUUUGCGCCAUCACCAUUUGAAGGAGCUUGUUGUCAUUGGAUUCCAGAGGACGGAGAGGCAGAUGCGCCUUGUGAGGUUCGCCGUGGAGGUAUCCACGGCGCUGCGGCGUGUCGCUCUGCUCAAGCAGGGACGCGUCGAGGAGAAAGGGUCCUGA